GCCCCCGUAUCCCAACUGGUAGAGGAAGGUCGCUUAAACCGGCCACAGUGUGGGUUUGACUCCCACCGGGGGCA
This 74-nucleotide transfer RNA is filed under the name Actinomycetota bacterium. RNAcentral describes it as "tRNA-Leu". The record is from RNAcentral. Lineage: Bacteria; Bacillati; Actinomycetota.